RNAcentral lists this ribosomal RNA (406 nucleotides) under uncultured bacterium. Its description in RNAcentral is "partial 16S ribosomal RNA". It matches the Rfam family "Bacterial small subunit ribosomal RNA", at positions 30 to 526 of the family's 1533-position model. The record is from RNAcentral.
AUUGAACGCUGGCGGCAGGCCUCACACCUGCAAGUCGAACGCGUGGCGGACGGGUUAGUAAUGUCUGAGCAACUGCCUGAUGGAGGGGGAUAACUACUGGAAACGGUAGCUAAUACCGCAUACCAUCAGCUAUGCCCAGAUUGGAUUAGCUAGUUGGUGGGGUAACGGCUCACCAGGGCGACGAUCCCUAGCUGGUCUGAGAGGAUGAACAGCCAGACUGUAACUGAGCAACUGUCCAGACUCUUACGGUAGGCAGCAGUGGGGAAUAUUGGACAAUGGGCGAAAGCCUGAUGCAGCCAUGCCGCGUGUAUUAAGAAGGCCUUCGGGUUGUAAAGUACUUUCAGCGGGGAGGCGUUACCCGAAGAAGAAGCACCGGCUAACUCCGUGCCAGCAGCCGCGGUAAUAC